GAGUUUGAUCAUGGCUCAGAUUGAACGCUGGCGGCAUGCCUUACACAUGCAAGUCGAACGGCAGCACGGGAGCUUGCUCCUGGUGGCGAGUGGCGAACGGGUGAGUAAUGCAUCGGAACGUAUCCUGGAGUGGGGGAUAACGUAGCGAAAGUUACGCUAAUACCGCAUAUUCUGUGAGCAGGAAAGCGGGGGACCUUCGGGCCUCGCGCCCUUGGAGCGGCCGAUGUCGGAUUAGCUAGUUGGUGAGGUAAAGGCUCACCAAGGCGACGAUCCGUAGCAGGUCUGAGAGGAUGAUCUGCCACACUGGAACUGAGACACGGUCCAGACUCCUACGGGAGGCAGCAGUGGGAAUUUUGGACAAUGGGCGAAAGCCUGAUCCAGCCAUGCCGCGUGUGUGAAGAAGGUCUUCGGAUUGUAAAGCACUUUAAGUUGGGUAGGAAGGGCAGUAAGUUAAUACCUUAGCUGUUUUGACGUUACCGACAGAAUAAGCACCGGCUAAACUCUGUGCCA
This 510-nucleotide ribosomal RNA is filed under the name bacterium enrichment culture clone ALO1_GLFRUDD03HHQS7. Its description in RNAcentral is "bacterial SSU rRNA". It matches the Rfam family "Bacterial small subunit ribosomal RNA", at positions 9 to 510 of the family's 1533-position model. The record is from RNAcentral.